UCAGUUUCCAACCCACAGACAACAAGCCCAGUAAUAUUUUUCUUAUGUAUUGUCCUCUUUUUUAAAUUACCCUCAACUCAUAUGGAUUUUAUCCAUUUCAGCUCCUGAACAAGAUAGCCUACAGCUAUCAUAGGAUGACAAAGCAGUUCCUCACUACUAUAAACCUGUCUGGAUACUCAAAUCAUCAAGACAGCCAUCUCUGAAGAUACCCUAUUGCUAAAAGCUCUACUCUCCAAUACUUGAGAAAAGUUCUUCUCUGGUAUAACAUUCAAUCUACAGAAUGCCCCUCUGGGUCACUCACAAUAUUUCAGAAGAAGGUAAAUGUUGCUGUUUGUUGCAAGCAGCAUAUAAUGGUUUUCUACUGUUAUGCGGGAGCUUCCAGAUGUGGUUGACUACAAUUCCCAGAAUACCCAGCCAUCGUAAUCAUUCCCUGUGCUAGCUGGCUUCUGAUAGCUGCAGUUCAACACAUCUGGAGAAUAUCAGAGAACUGGAAGAAUUUAUCUGUUACUCCAGGGUGUGACAUUAUCAAUAUAUGGGUGAUAUCCAACAGUAUAUCAGUAUCCUGGAUCAUAUCACUGAAGCAGCUGAUGUCUUGCCUGGUAUUGGAAGCUGCAAGGAUCCGGAUGGAGUGAUAAGAGCUGAAGUUGAACCCAAGAAGGCAGAGUUUCUAUUUGCUUCCUUGGAUAAAUAUUUGCUCCUUCUUUGGUUGUGUGACUCAUGUCUCAUUUCACCUUAUCCUCCCUUGAGGGAAAAAGUCCACAAUUUAGAGAUUUUCUUGUACAUACAGCUACUGUUGCUUGGACAUGAUAAGGUGGUCCUUUGCCAAACUCCAGCUAGUGAACCAAUUCUGGCUCGAUCUUAAAACAGUAACUCAUGUUUUAGUCAUUUGGGCCUAGAGUAUUGCAAUAUGCUCUCCAUGGAAUUGUCUUUGAGGACCACAUAGAAAAAGUAAAAUUAAAUCAGGUAUAUCCUACUUCUAUACAUCAAUGAGUUUUGUUUUUUCACAAGGCUUGGGAGGGAGCAAGGAGGGGGGGGGAAUAAAAAAGAAGUAAAUCUGGCUAUUUCAAAAUGUGUAAUAUGUUUUUUAAAGGACCUUGUCCCUUGAGUGUUAAGAAGAGGCUUGAGGUAAUAACUUGGGAAUUCCUUGAAGAUAUUCCAAGAAAUAUUGAACAUAAGAAAGCAAAAAUGCCACACAGUCUCUGUGAAAGAAGAAAAGUAAACUAAAAUGAAAUUUGUCAUAUUUACACAAAAAUGGACAGUUCUGUAUAUACAAAUUUGGAAGACUUUUGGAGUCUUAUUACAUUGUUCUGAGUAAUGCUGAAUUGAUUUAAGUAAUAUUUUUAGCCUCCUGCAUAUUGGUAAUAUUAUUAGAUUUCCUUUAGAAAGUAAUUGUCACAAUGACAAAAAUAAUGUAUAGUGGUUAAAAAUAUAAUAAAACAAUAUAAUUUGU
Molecule: long non-coding RNA, 1450 nt
Organism: Crotalus tigris (Tiger rattlesnake)
Lineage: Eukaryota; Metazoa; Chordata; Lepidosauria; Squamata; Viperidae
Exons: 3
Source: RefSeq, a predicted model, not a curated record